UGCUUCUUUCAUGCUUGAUAUUAAGAAUUUAUUAUCGUUGUUUAGUAAAUUGCUUCUUUUAUGCUUGAUAUUUAGAAAUUCUUGUGCCUAGUCAUGUGCUUCCAUCUUCCCCUAAGUUCGUUCAACCCCAUUGCCAUCAACCUAUGGUAACAUAGUUACGAUGGCAUGAUAGCCUUUGGUCGUCCUCUAAAUACCACCCUUAUCCCUAGAAUCUGUCAUAUUAUGAGUCAUUGUGUUUUUUUCUUACCCUAGAAGUCUUCCAAUGACACCUUUCUUUUUUUCGCUACAAAUAUUUACCUCAUUUCUCCUCAAAUAAAGAAGAAUUGCAUCAUUUCCAAUAGCAUAGGGUCCAUUCCAAUCAUAACUUUUCAGCCAUUUUUUUCUUACACAUCUUUAGUGUCAUAUUUUAUAUGGAUAUUGAGGGAGAUAUAUUAAGACAUUGUUGUAGCAUUUUCCCCAAUAUAUAUGAAAAUAAUGUUGAGGUACUUCAACACUCACAUACCAGGGGACUGAUGGAGAUGUUUUUUUUUUUGACAAGUGAUGGAGAUGUUGUUUACUUACAUCUUUGGCAUGUACCAUGAUCCAUGGUUUUAAUUAACUAGAGAGAGUUUAUACUAAGUCGUUGUUACUUUUGACACUAUGCCAGCUACGACCACUAUAUUGCGCUUUAGCACCAUUAAAUUAUUGCUUAGCUGUAGCUUUGAAAUAACGAGUCUAUUUCAAUUCCAGCUGCAACAGUGCCGAUCUAGUUAUUACCUGCACCUACCUUUUGCUACA
This 777-nucleotide long non-coding RNA is filed under the name Sorghum bicolor (sorghum). RNAcentral's name for it is "long non-coding RNA (SBIC_LNC017054)". Lineage: Eukaryota; Viridiplantae; Streptophyta; Magnoliopsida; Poales; Poaceae. The record is from RNAcentral.